RNAcentral lists this long non-coding RNA (1204 nucleotides) under Setaria italica (foxtail millet). RNAcentral's name for it is "long non-coding RNA (SITA_LNC001963)". Lineage: Eukaryota; Viridiplantae; Streptophyta; Magnoliopsida; Poales; Poaceae. The record is from RNAcentral.
AUUUCAGCCACUCGUUCUUUUUCUCUAGUCCAGCUUCUUAUCCAUUUGUUCAUCUUUUGUGAGCUCUAAUCAUUCUCUGCCUCUCUAGCCAUGAACUAAAUCCAGCUUUGCCCAUUCUCUACAGCAACUCAGAUCCUAUGCCUACUCACGUCUUAGCGCCGCUGAGCAUGCCGCUCCACAGGCCAGCGCGCGCAGCGAGCUGAUGGCGCUCUCCGGCACGCGGCUCGCCGCCUUGCCGUACCAGUCUAGCGACAGCAGCCUCUCCGCUGCCGACGCCGGCUUCACCUCCAUGGCGUCGUGCUUCGCGCGUGCCUCAAACGGCGGCGGCGGUCGGCAGGCGUGGGGCUAGGGAAGAAUCCAUGGUGGCAGCUAUCAUACUCUAGGAGGAAGAAGACUCAAACGUGAGGGACACCAACCAUUCACGUAGCAUCUAAAUUUUGUAAUGUUGCAUCAGGUAUUUUGAGAUGUUUUGCGUAGUGUUCGCUAAUGUUGCAAGAUUGAUUUUUAGAUGUUCUAUAGUACAUUCGAUUUUUUGAUGUUACAAUAUCUAACUUGAGAUGUUGCAGCAGUAAUAUUUUUAUAUUGCAUGGUUGAUGAUGACUUUUUUUUACGAAAGUUGAUGAUGAUUUUAUUUUUAGGUUCGGGAUGUUGCAACUGUGAAAUCGAGAUGUUGCAUUAGAUGAUGUAUGAUGUUGCACAAGGUGUUGCGAGAUGUUUUGGAUUAAAGGAAUUUUUCCAACGAAACGGUGAUUGAACAUUGGCAAAUGUUGCGAUGGACUUCUUUUAUGUGUUAGAACUUUGUUCCCAGAAUUUUUAUUCUUUUGCAUGUUGCAUGCAACAUGUGACCAUGUUGCAGCGGAAUUUUUUUUAUUCUUUUGCAUGUUGCAUGCAAAUGUGACCAUGUUGCGGUGGAAUUUUUUUUCACUUCCCAACGUCCAAUGCUAGCAUCCCGGAUCGGAUGUCCGGGCGCUAGUAGCACCCUAUUAAAUAUCCUCAAUGCUUGCAUAGGUUAGGCUGGACCAAGCAGGCAAGCUGACCUAGGAACUAAACGAACCCUUGAUCGCUCCUGUUCAUUCUUUGUAAGGAAAACCUGUAACACAAAUAAAACGUGUAAAAAUUUGCACGUAAUAAUUUAUCAUGUGUUUUUGCAAGUCUUCAAACAUCUUAUUAGGAAGCUGAUUUUUGGAUAAGUUUGUAAACAGAG